AGCGUACACGGUGGAUGCCCUGGCAGUCAGAGGCGAUGAAGGACGUGCUAAUCUGCGAUAAGCGUCGGUAAGGUGAUAUGAACCGUUAUAACCGGCGAUUUCCGAAUGGGGAAACCCAGUGUGUUUCGACACACUAUCAUUAACUGAAUCCAUAGGUUAAUGAGGCGAACCGGGGGAACUGAAACAUCUAAGUACCCCGAGGAAAAGAAAUCAACCGAGAUUCCCCCAGUAGCGGCGAGCGAACGGGGAGCAGCCCAGAGCCUGAAUCAGUGUGUGUGUUAGUGGAAGCGUCUGGAAAGGCGCGCGAUACAGGGUGACAGCCCCGUACACAAAAAUGCACAUGCUGUGAGCUCGAUGAGUAGGGCGGGACACGUGGUAUCCUGUCUGAAUAUGGGGGGACCAUCCUCCAAGGCUAAAUACUCCUGACUGACCGAUAGUGAACCAGUACCGUGAGGGAAAGGCGAAAAGAACCCCGGCGAGGGGAGUGAAAAAGAACCUGAAACCGUGUACGUACAAGCAGUGGGAGCCUCUUUUAUGGGGUGACUGCGUACCUUUUGUAUAAUGGGUCAGCGACUUAUAUUCUGUAGCAAGGUUAACCGAAUAGGGGAGCCGAAGGGAAACCGAGUCUUAACUGGGCGUUAAGUUGCAGGGUAUAGACCCGAAACCCGGUGAUCUAGCCAUGGGCAGGUUGAAGGUUGGGUAACACUAACUGGAGGACCGAACCGACUAAUGUUGAAAAAUUAGCGGAUGACUUGUGGCUGGGGGUGAAAGGCCAAUCAAACCGGGAGAUAGCUGGUUCUCCCCGAAAGCUAUUUAGGUAGCGCCUCGUGAAUUCAUCUCCGGGGGUAGAGCACUGUUUCGGCAAGGGGGUCAUCCCGACUUACCAACCCGAUGCAAACUGCGAAUACCGGAGAAUGUUAUCACGGGAGACACACGGCGGGUGCUAACGUCCGUCGUGAAGAGGGAAACAACCCAGACCGCCAGCUAAGGUCCCAAAGUCAUGGUUAAGUGGGAAACGAUGUGGGAAGGCCCAGACAGCCAGGAUGUUGGCUUAGAAGCAGCCAUCAUUUAAAGAAAGCGUAAUAGCUCACUGGUCGAGUCGGCCUGCGCGGAAGAUGUAACGGGGCUAAACCAUGCACCGAAGCUGCGGCAGCGACACUAUGUGUUGUUGGGUAGGGGAGCGUUCUGUAAGCCUGUGAAGGUGUGCUGUGAGGCAUGCUGGAGGUAUCAGAAGUGCGAAUGCUGACAUAAGUAACGAUAAAGCGGGUGAAAAGCCCGCUCGCCGGAAGACCAAGGGUUCCUGUCCAACGUUAAUCGGGGCAGGGUGAGUCGACCCCUAAGGCGAGGCCGAAAGGCGUAGUCGAUGGGAAACAGGUUAAUAUUCCUGUACUUGGUGUUACUGCGAAGGGGGGACGGAGAAGGCUAUGUUGGCCGGGCGACGGUUGUCCCGGUUUAAGCGUGUAGGCUGGUUUUCCAGGCAAAUCCGGAAAAUCAAGGCUGAGGCGUGAUGACGAGGCACUACGGUGCUGAAGCAACAAAUGCCCUGCUUCCAGGAAAAGCCUCUAAGCAUCAGGUAACAUCAAAUCGUACCCCAAACCGACACAGGUGGUCAGGUAGAGAAUACCAAGGCGCUUGAGAGAACUCGGGUGAAGGAACUAGGCAAAAUGGUGCCGUAACUUCGGGAGAAGGCACGCUGAUAUGUAGGUGAAGUCCCUUGCGGAUGGAGCUGAAAUCAGUCGAAGAUACCAGCUGGCUGCAACUGUUUAUUAAAAACACAGCACUGUGCAAACACGAAAGUGGACGUAUACGGUGUGACGCCUGCCCGGUGCCGGAAGGUUAAUUGAUGGGGUCAGCGCAAGCGAAGCUCUUGAUCGAAGCCCCGGUAAACGGCGGCCGUAACUAUAACGGUCCUAAGGUAGCGAAAUUCCUUGUCGGGUAAGUUCCGACCUGCACGAAUGGCGUAAUGAUGGCCAGGCUGUCUCCACCCGAGACUCAGUGAAAUUGAACUCGCUGUGAAGAUGCAGUGUACCCGCGGCAAGACGGAAAGACCCCGUGAACCUUUACUAUAGCUUGACACUGAACAUUGAGCCUUGAUGUGUAGGAUAGGUGGGAGGCUUAGAAGUGUGGACGCCAGUCUGCAUGGAGCCGACCUUGAAAUACCACCCUUUAAUGUUUGAUGUUCUAACGUUGACCCGUGAUCCGGGUUGCGGACAGUGUCUGGUGGGUAGUUUGACUGGGGCGGUCUCCUCCUAAAGAGUAACGGAGGAGCACGAAGGUUGGCUAAUCCUGGUCGGACAUCAGGAGGUUAGUGCAAUGGCAUAAGCCAGCUUGACUGCGAGCGUGACGGCGCGAGCAGGUGCGAAAGCAGGUCAUAGUGAUCCGGUGGUUCUGAAUGGAAGGGCCAUCGCUCAACGGAUAAAAGGUACUCCGGGGAUAACAGGCUGAUACCGCCCAAGAGUUCAUAUCGACGGCGGUGUUUGGCACCUCGAUGUCGGCUCAUCACAUCCUGGGGCUGAAGUAGGUCCCAAGGGUAUGGCUGUUCGCCAUUUAAAGUGGUACGCGAGCUGGGUUUAGAACGUCGUGAGACAGUUCGGUCCCUAUCUGCCGUGGGCGCUGGAGAACUGAGGGGGGCUGCUCCUAGUACGAGAGGACCGGAGUGGACGCAUCACUGGUGUUCGGGUUGUCAUGCCAAUGGCACUGCCCGGUAGCUAAAUGCGGAAGAGAUAAGUGCUGAAAGCAUCUAAGCACGAAACUUGCCCCGAGAUGAGUUCU
RNAcentral lists this ribosomal RNA (2772 nucleotides) under Escherichia coli. Its description in RNAcentral is "bacterial LSU rRNA". It matches the Rfam family "Bacterial large subunit ribosomal RNA". Lineage: Bacteria; Pseudomonadati; Pseudomonadota; Gammaproteobacteria; Enterobacterales; Enterobacteriaceae. The record is from RNAcentral.